Molecule: ribosomal RNA, 467 nt
Filed under: uncultured bacterium
Lineage: Bacteria
Description: partial 16S ribosomal RNA
Rfam family: Bacterial small subunit ribosomal RNA
Source: RNAcentral
ACGAACGCUGGCGGCGUGCUUCACACAUGCACGUCGAACGGAAAGGCCCUGCUUUUGUGGGGUUCUCGAGUGGCGAACGGGUGAGUAACACGUGAGUAACCUGCCCUUGACUUUGGGAUAACUUCAGGAAACUGGGGCUAAUACCGGAUAGGAGCUCCUGCUGCAUGGUGGGGGUUGGAAAGUUUCGGCGGUUGGGGAUGGACUCGCGGCUUAUCAGCUUGUUGGUGGGGUAGUGGCUUACCAAGGCUUUGACGGGUAGCCGGCCUGAGAGGGUGACCGGCCACAUUGGGACUGAGAUACGGCCCAGACUCCUACGGGAGGCAGCAGUGGGGAAUAUUGCACAAUGGGCGGAAGCCUGAUGCAGCAACGCCGCGUGCGGGAUGACGGCCUUCGGGUUGUAAACCGCUUUCGCCUGUGACGAAGCGUGAGUGACGGUAAUGGGUAAAGAAGCACCGGCUAACUACGUG